GACGGGGACCCCGCACCAAGCGGUGGAGCAUGGUGGUUUAAUUUCGAAGCAAACGGCGAAGAACCUUACCAGGUCUUGACAUACCAUGAAAAGCUCAGAGAUGAGUCUUUCCCUUCGGGGACAUGGAUACAGGUGGUGCAUGGUUGUCGUCAGCUCGUGUCGUGAGAUGUUGGGUUAAGUCCCGCAACGAGCGCAACCCUUAUUAUCAGUUGCCAGCAUUCAGUUGGGCACUCUGGUGAGACUGCCGGUGAUAAACCGGAGGAAGGUGGGGACGACGUCAAAUCAUCAUGCCCCUUAUGACCUGGGCUACACACGUGCUACAAUGGUCGGUACAACGUGCUGCGAACUCGCGAGGGCAAGCAAAUCACUUAAAACCGAUCUCAGUUCGGAUUGUAGGCUGCAACUCGCCUACAUGAAGCUGGAAUCGCUAGUAAUCGCGGAUCAGCAUGCCGCGGUGAAUACGUUCCCGGGCCUUGUACACACCGCCCGUCACACCAUGAGAGUUUGUAACACCCAAAGUCGGUGGGGUAACCCUUCGGGGAACUAGCCGCCUAAGGUGGGACAAAUGAUUAGGGUG
RNAcentral lists this ribosomal RNA (577 nucleotides) under uncultured Lactobacillus sp. RNAcentral's name for it is "bacterial SSU rRNA". It matches the Rfam family "Bacterial small subunit ribosomal RNA", at positions 912 to 1482 of the family's 1533-position model. The record is from RNAcentral. Lineage: Bacteria; Bacillati; Bacillota; Bacilli; Lactobacillales; Lactobacillaceae.